This 492-nucleotide ribosomal RNA is filed under the name uncultured bacterium. Its description in RNAcentral is "partial 16S ribosomal RNA". It matches the Rfam family "Bacterial small subunit ribosomal RNA", at positions 28 to 507 of the family's 1533-position model. The record is from RNAcentral.
GAUGAACACUAGCUACAGGCUUAACACAUGCAAGUCGAGGGGCAGCGGUAUCGAAAGCUUGCUUUCGGUAGCCGGCGACCGGCGCACGGGUGAGUAACGCGUAUCGAACCUGCCUCAUACUCGGGAAUAGCCUUGCGAAAGUAAGAUUAAUGCCCGGUGUUUUCAGAGUCCCGCAUGAGGCUUUGAACAAAGAUUUAUCGGUAUGAGAUGGCGAUGCGUCCCAUUAGCUUGUUGGCGGGGUAACGGCCCACCAAGGCAUCGAUGGGUAGGGGUUCUGAGAGGAAGGUCCCCCACAUGGGAACUGAGACACGGUCCAAACUCCUACGGGAGGCAGCAGUGAGGAAUAUUGGUCAAUGGGCGGAAGCCCGAACCAGCCAAGUAGCGUGCAGGAAGACGGCCCUCCGGGUUGUAAACUGCUUUUAGUUGGGAAUAAAACGGGGCUCGUGAGCCCCCUUGCAUGUACCAUCAGAAAAAGGACCGGCUAAUUCCGUG